RNAcentral lists this transfer RNA (77 nucleotides) under Kribbella pittospori. Its description in RNAcentral is "tRNA-Pro". It matches the Rfam family "tRNA". From Rfam's summary of the family: Transfer RNA (tRNA) molecules are approximately 80 nucleotides in length. Their secondary structure includes four short double-helical elements and three loops (D, anti-codon, and T loops). Further hydrogen bonds mediate the characteristic L-shaped molecular structure. tRNAs have two regions of fundamental functional importance: the anti-codon, which is responsible for specific mRNA codon recognition, and the 3' end, to which the tRNAs corresponding amino acid is attached (by aminoacyl-tRNA synthetases). tRNAs cope with the degeneracy of the genetic code in two manners: having more than one tRNA (with a specific anti-codon) for a particular amino acid; and 'wobble' base-pairing, i.e. permitting non-standard base-pairing at the 3rd anti-codon position. The record is from RNAcentral. Lineage: Bacteria; Bacillati; Actinomycetota; Actinomycetes; Propionibacteriales; Kribbellaceae.
CGGGCUGUGGCGUAGUUUGGUAACGCGUCUGGCUGGGGGCCAGAAGACCGCAGGUUCAAAUCCUGUCAGCCCGACCC